RNAcentral lists this ribosomal RNA (241 nucleotides) under uncultured bacterium. RNAcentral describes it as "partial 16S ribosomal RNA". It matches the Rfam family "Bacterial small subunit ribosomal RNA", at positions 15 to 244 of the family's 1533-position model. The record is from RNAcentral.
GAUCAUGGCUCAGGAUGAACGCUAGCUACAGGCUUAACACAUGCAAGUCGGAGGGGAAACGAUAUUGGAAGCUUGCUUCCAAUAGGCGUCGACCGGCGCACGGGUGAGUAACGCGUAUCCGACCUGCCCACCACUUGGGGAUAACCUUGCGAAAGUAAGACUAAUACCCAAUGACGUCUCUAGAAGACGUCUGAAGGAGAUUAAAGAUUUAUCGGUGAUGGAUGGGGAUGCGUCUGAUUAG